GCCCUACUCACUGAGCCACAGGUGCUGUCCCCAUCACAGUUUUAUACAUAACUGCCUUGUAUAUUCCCUGUGUUCCAUCAAAUUAUCACUCCUCUCUCUAUUUCUCCUUACCCGUUAUUCCCCAGCAACAACUGAUAAUUUCACUUCCUCGGAGUUUUCCUUUUUCAGAAUAUCCUAGACUUAGAAUCACACCAUAGCUAGUCAUUUCAGACUUGAUUCCUUCAUAUAGAAAUAGGUGUUUAGGUCUCUCCAUAACUUUGUGGCUUUAUAGAUCACUUCUCUUUAUCAGUGAAUAAUAUUCCAUCAUAUAGGUGUAUCCCAGUUGUGUAUUCAUUCACCUAAUGAAAGGGUCAUCUUGUUCCUGCUACAGUUGGUUUCACCUGUAGUCCCAACAGCCACCCACUUUGGUGGCUAAGAUAUAAGGAUUGCUCAAGGUCAGGAGUUCCACACCAGUCUGAGUGUUAUAAGGCAAGUCCACAUCUUUUAAAAAAUAAAGAUUAGCUGGGUGCAGUGGCUCACACCUGCAAUUCUAGCACACUGGGAGGCUGCAGUGGGAGGAUCCCUUGACCUCAAGAGUUGGAGACCAGCCUGAGCAAGAGUGAGACCCCAUCUCUACUAAAAAUAGAAAAACUAGAUGCGUAUUGUGGGAGGCACUUAUAGUCCCAGCUACUUGGGAGACUGAGGCAGGAGGGUCACUUGAACCUAGGAGUUUGAGAUUGCUGUGAGCUAGGUUGACACCUCGGUACUAUAGCCUGGGUAGCAGAGUAAGACUUAGACUGAAAAAAAAAAAAAAGAAAAAAGAUAGGCUUAUCUUGGUUGCUUUUACUUUUUGGCAGUUAUACAAAAGACUGUUGAAAGUGUUCGUGUGAAGUCUUUUGUGGGGAUGUCAAUUUAAAAUUUAAUCUGUUAAUACCUAGACCUACAACUGCUGAAUCAUAGAGUAAGAUCAUGCUUACCUUCUUUUAUUUUAUUUAUUUAUUUAUUUUUUGUAGAGACAGAGUCUCACUGUAUGGCCCUCAGUAGAGUACCAUGGCAUCACACAGCUCACAGCAACCUCCAACUCCUGGGCUUAGGCGAUUCUCUUGCUUCAGCCUCCUGAGUAGCUGGGACCACAGGCGCCUGCCACUAUGUGCAGCUAUUUUUUUUUGUUGCAGUUUGGCCGGGGCCAGGUUUGAACCCACCACCCUCGGUAUAUGGGGCUGGCACCCUAUUCACUGAGCCACAGGUGCCACCCAGUUUUAAAUGGUUUUCUUUUUGAAGUUUAGAAAUUCUUUGUAUGGGCAUUGUCAGUAGCUCAGUGAGUAGGGUACCGGCCACAUACACUGAGGCUGGCAGGUUUGAACCCAGCCCAGGCCAGCUAAAAAACAAUGACACCUGCAACAAAGAAUAGUCGGGUGUUGUCGUGGGCACCUGUAGUCUCAGCUACUGGGAGACUGAGGCAAGAGAAUCACUUUAAGCCGGAGAGUUUGAGGUUGCUGUGAGAUGUGAUGCAACAGCACUCUACUGAUGGCACCAUAGUGAAACUCUGUCUCAAAAUAAAAAAAAAAAAAAGAAAAGUUCUUUUUAUGUUUUGGGUAGCAGCCUUUUAUCAGAUAGUUGUUUUGCAAUUUUUUUUUUUUUUUAGACAGAGUCUAAAGCUGUUGUCCUAGGUAGAGUGCUUAAGCAAUUCUCUUGCCUCUGCCACCCAUUAGCUGGGACUACAGGCACCCACCACAACACCUGGCUAUUUUUUGUUGCAGUUGACAUUGUUUUUUCGCUGGCCCUCACUGGGUUUGAACCCUCCAGCCUUUGUGUAUGUGGCCAGUGCCCUACCCACUGAGCUACAGGUGAUUUUCUCAUUCACACACAGAUCUUGCUUUUGGAGUUGGUUGUGAAACCUUGCCAAAUCCAAGACCGUCUUUUGGGGGUUUUGUUGUUUUUGUUGUUGUUGAGACAAAGUUUUUGUUGUUGUUAAACAAAGUCUCACUUUGCUCUGGGUAGAGUACUGUUUCCCUCAAAAAUGUCUCCUCAUGGGUUUCUAUUCCACCAAGAUAUAACUACCUUAUUAGUUGGGCUUGUGAGGCCCAGUCCAAAAACCAUCAUUUUCAAAUAGCAUUUUCAGAGAUGCAAUGUCUCAGGAUUACUAAUGCUAACUUUUUUCUCCACACUAAGAAUAGGAUUUUGUUAUGACAGAUGGUACAGAUCCACUUUAGAGGGAGAUGUUAGUGACCUAAUGGGGUGCCCUAGACAACACAUCUUUCUUCCUGGAUUCACCAACAAAACACAUUUUUUUAUUCUGCUAUUGCUUUACUGAGUGUUCCAUUCUAGCAUCAGAAAUGCUGUGUGGGAGGAAGUGAAUAUGAACAUAAAAGUAAGACUGAUGACCAAGGCAUGGAAUAAAUGUUGGGAGUCCACAGCAUCAUGUGAACUUCUACAAAAUAGAGUAUAGGUCCCCAAGGUUGUGAGUCUCACUCAUUCUCCUUAGCACAUGUGGGAUGUUUCAGGAUUCAGUGACCUUUGAGGAUGUGGCUGUGAACUUCACCCUGGAGGAGUGGGCUUUGCUGGAUCCUUCCCAGAAGAGUCUCUACAGAGAUGUGCUGCAGGAAACCUUUAGAAACCUGGACACUAUAGGAGAAAAAUGGAAAGACCAGAGCUUUGAAGACUACUGUAAAAAUCCCAGGAGAAAUCUAAGAAAUCUUAUGGGAGAGACACUCUUUGAAAGUAAAGAAACUAAUCAGUUUGGAAGAACCUUUAGUCAAAUUCCAGAUCACAUGGUGAGCAAGAAAACUUCUCCUGGAAUAAACCCAUGUGAAAGCAGUGUGUGUGGAAAAGUCUCCAUUGAUCAUUCAUCAUUUAGUAUGCCCAUUAAAGCUGACCGUGGACAGAAAGCACCUGAGUAUAAGGAAUGUAGGCAAAAGCCAUAUACACAUAAGAAAUGUGAGAAAACCUUCAGUUACUCCCACUCCUUUGGAACACAUGAAAGGUCUUCCACUGGAAAGAAACUCUUUAAUUGUAAAGAAUGUGGAAAACCAGGCAGUGCCUGUGGCUCAAGGAGUAGGGCGCCAGUCCCAUAUGCCGGAGGUGGCGGGUUCAAACCCAGCCCUGGCCAAAAAAAAAAACCACAAAAAAAAAAAAAAAGAA
Long non-coding RNA from Nycticebus coucang (slow loris), 3120 nucleotides. RefSeq lists it as uncharacterized. The transcript is spliced from 3 exons. NCBI's taxonomy places the organism in Eukaryota, Metazoa, Chordata, Mammalia, Primates, Lorisidae. The record is from RefSeq and is a predicted model, not a curated record.